Molecule: ribosomal RNA, 440 nt
Filed under: uncultured bacterium
Lineage: Bacteria
Description: partial 16S ribosomal RNA
Rfam family: Bacterial small subunit ribosomal RNA
Source: RNAcentral
CCUACGGGUGACAGCAGUGGGGAAUAUUGCACAAUGGGCGAAAGCCUGAUGCAGCGACGCAGCGUGAAUGAAGAAGGAUUUCGGUAUGUAAAGCUCUAUCAGCAGGGAAGAAAAUUACGGUACCUAAUUGAGUAUCCCCGGCUAACUACGUGCCAGCAGCCGCGGUAAUACGUAGGGGGCAAGCGUUAUCCGGAUUUACUGGGUGUAAAGGGAGCGUAGACGGGUGCACAAGUCUGGAGUGAAAUGCCGGGGCUUAACCCCGGAACUGCUUUGGAAACUGGCCAGCUAGAGUGCAGGAGAGGUAAGUGGAAUUCCUAGUGUAGCGGUGAAAUGCGUAGAUAUUAGGAGGAACACCAGUGGCGAAGGCGGCUUACUGGACUGUAACUGACGUUGAGGCUCGAAAGCGUGGGGAGCAAACAGGAUUAGAUACCCGGGUAGUC